CUGGAUGUGUUCGUUAGUCAUA
RNAcentral lists this microRNA (22 nucleotides) under Caenorhabditis briggsae. Lineage: Eukaryota; Metazoa; Nematoda; Chromadorea; Rhabditida; Rhabditidae. The record is from RNAcentral.